Molecule: transfer RNA, 69 nt
Filed under: Ictidomys tridecemlineatus (thirteen-lined ground squirrel)
Lineage: Eukaryota; Metazoa; Chordata; Mammalia; Rodentia; Sciuridae
Description: Spermophilus tridecemlineatus (thirteen-lined ground squirrel) tRNA
Rfam family: tRNA
About the family: Transfer RNA (tRNA) molecules are approximately 80 nucleotides in length. Their secondary structure includes four short double-helical elements and three loops (D, anti-codon, and T loops).
Source: Rfam by way of RNAcentral
GGGACUGUAGCUCAGUAGCAGAGCACUUGCCUAGCAUGCAUGAAGCACUGGGUUUAAUCCUCAGCACCA